Molecule: long non-coding RNA, 89 nt
Organism: Dipodomys spectabilis (banner-tailed kangaroo rat)
Lineage: Eukaryota; Metazoa; Chordata; Mammalia; Rodentia; Heteromyidae
Exons: 3
Source: RefSeq, a predicted model, not a curated record
UUGGCAAAGUUCUUCAGAGCCACACCAUCUCGGCGAAAGGGAACAUGCAGAGAAACGGAUGAAGCUGCAGAACCAGAGAGGUGGCCGCA